NAACCUGGUUGAUCCUGCCAGUAGUCAUAUGCUUGUUUCAAAGAUUAAGCCAUGCAUGUCUAAGUAUGAACCACUCAUACGGUGAAACUGCGAACGGCUCAUUACAACAGUUAUCAUUUACUUGGUCAUUGGAUCUGAUCCUACAUGGAUAACCGUAGUAACUCCAGAGCUAAUACAUGCACAAACUCCCGCGUUUGAUGGGAGGCGUUUAUUAGAUUCAACCAAUCGGCUUUGCCGACCGGGUGAUUCAUAGUAACCGAGCGAAUCGCAUGGCCCCAGUGCCGGCGAUGAACCAAUCAAGUUUCUGCCCUAUCAGCUUUCGUCGGUAGGGUAUUGGCCUACCGAGGCUUCUACGGGUAACGGGGAAUUAGGGUUUGAUUCCGGAGAGGGAGCCUGAGAAACGGCUACCACAUCUAAGGAAGGCAGCAGGCGCGCAAAUUACCCAAUCUCAAUUCGAGGAGGUAGUGACAAGAAAUACCUGUUGACGGCUUCGGCUGUCAAACGGGAAUGAGGACAAUUUAGAAACCUUAUCGAGUAUCCAUUGGAGGGCAAGUCUGGUGCCAGCGGCCGCGGUAACACCAGCUCCAAUAGCGUAUAUUAACGUUGUUGCACUUAAAAAGCUCGUAGUCAGACUUUCGAGGGUGCCCCUGACGUUUGGCACCGGUGAUGCAUUUGCUCGCCGUUCAUGCCCGCAGGGAGCCCCUCCUGGACCCCACCCGAUCACUGCGAGCCGCCCGUGCUUCACGGCCGGGCGCGCCUCGUACGGGUACGUUCCUGUGAGCAAAUCAGAGUGUUCCAAGCAGGCAUACGCCUUGCAUGGUUGAGCAUGGAAUAACGAUGCGGGACUCCGGUCGCGCUUUGUUGGUGUGGGCGCAUCGGAGGACACGGUUAAUAGGGAUAGUUGGGGGCAUUCGUAUUCAGGUGUCAGAGGUGAAAUUCUAGGAUUACCUGAAGACGAACUACUGCGAAAGCAUUUGCCAAGGAUGUUCCCAUUGAUCAAGAACGAAAGUUAGGGGAUCGAAGACGAUCAGACACCGCCCUAGUCCUAACCAUAAACGAUGCCGACUAGGGAUUGGAGGAUGCUCCAUUACAUGACUCCUUCAGCACCUUCAGGGAAACUAAGAGUUCUUGGGUUGUGGGGGGAGUAUGGUCGCAAGGCUGAAACUUAAAGGAAUUGACGGAAGGGCACCACCAGGAGUGGAGCCUGCGGCUUAAUUUGACUCAACACGGGGCAACUUACCAGGUCCAGACGCAGGGAGGAUGGACAGAUUGAUAGCUCUUUCUUGAUUCUGUGGGUGGUGGUGCAUGGCCGUUCUUAGUUGGUGGAGUGAUUUGUCUGGUUAAUUCCGUUAACGAACGAGACCGAAAUCUGCUAACUAGCAGCGGGCGCCCCCGAGGCGACCCGGUAUCCUACUGCUUCUUAGAGAGAUUAUGGACGACAAGUCCAUUGAAACGUUCGGCAAAAACAGGUCUGUGAUGCCCUUCGAUGUUCUGGGCCGCACGCGCGCUACACCGGUGAGCUCAACGAGCGUGUCCUUGACCGAAAGGUCCCGGGGAAUCUUGUCAAAGCUCACCGUGAUUGGGAUAGUCUAUUGCAAUUUUUAGACUUCAACGAGGAAUUCCUAGUAAGCGCGAGUCAUCAGCUCGCGCUGACUACGUCCCUGCCCUUUGUACACACCGCCCGUCGCUCCUACCGAUUGGAUGAUGCGGUGAAGAUUCUGGACCGUGCCGGGCUUGCAUGGCGACUAGCGCGUCUCCUGGCUGCGGGAAGUUGUCUAAAUCUUAUCAUCUAGAGGAAGGAGAAGUCGUAACAAGGUAUCCGUAGGUGAACCUGCAGAAGGAUCANNNN
RNAcentral lists this ribosomal RNA (1849 nucleotides) under Jakoba libera. RNAcentral's name for it is "cytosolic 18S rRNA". It matches the Rfam family "Eukaryotic small subunit ribosomal RNA". The record is from RNAcentral. Lineage: Eukaryota; Jakobea; Jakobida; Jakobidae.